Molecule: ribosomal RNA, 366 nt
Filed under: uncultured eukaryote
Lineage: Eukaryota
Description: partial 18S ribosomal RNA
Rfam family: Eukaryotic small subunit ribosomal RNA
Source: RNAcentral
CAAUAGCGUAUAUUAACGUUGUUGCAGUUAAAAAGCUCGUAGUUGGAUUUCUGGAGGGAGCGUCGGCCCGUAUUUACGAGUGCGUGACGUCUCUGUCCAUCCUUGCGGGAAGGCACGGCAUUGAUUUGUUGUGUCGGAUCGCAUCAUUUACUGUGAAAAAAUUAGAGUGUUCAAAGCAGGCUUUCGCUUGAAUACAUUAGCAUGGAAUAAUAAGAGAGGACUUUGGUGCUAUUUUGUUGGUUGAGCCUAAAGUAAUGAUUAAUAGGGAUAGUUGGGGGCACCUGUAUUGCGUUGUCAGAGGUGAAAUUCUUGGAUUUACGCAAGACAAACAGCUGCGAAAGCGUCUGCCAAGGAUGUUUNCAUUAA